AGUGAACGCUGGCGGUAGGCCUAACACAUGCAAGUCGAACGGCAGCACAGUAAGAGCUUGCUCUUACGGGUGGCGAGUGGCGGCCGGGUGAGGAAUACAUCGGAAUCUACUUUUUCGUGGGGGAUAACGUAGGGAAACUUACGCUAAUACCGCAUACGACCUACGGGUGAAAGAAGGGGAUCUUCGGACCUUGCGCGAUUGAAUGAGCCGAUGUCGGAUUAGCUAGUUGGCGGGGUAAAGGCCCACCAAGGCGACGAUCCGUAGCUGGUCUGAGAGGAUGGUCAGCCACACGGGAACUGAGACACGGUCCAGACUCCUACGGGAGGCAGCAGUGGGGAAUAUUGGACAAUGGGCGCAAGCCUGAUCCAGCCAUACCGAGUGGGUGAAGAAGGCCUUCGGGUUGGAAAGCCCUUUUGUUGGGAAAGAAAAGCAGCAGGUUAAUACCCCGCUGUUCUGACGGUACCCAAAGAAUAAGCACCGGCUAACUUCGUG
RNAcentral lists this ribosomal RNA (492 nucleotides) under uncultured bacterium. RNAcentral describes it as "partial 16S ribosomal RNA". It matches the Rfam family "Bacterial small subunit ribosomal RNA", at positions 29 to 507 of the family's 1533-position model. The record is from RNAcentral.